CGCUGGCGGCAGGCCUAACACAUGCAAGGUCGAGCGCCCGCAAGGGGAGCGGCGGACGGGUGAGUAACGCGUGGGAACGUGCCCUCUUCUACGGAAUAGCCUCGGGAAACUGGGAGUAAUACCGUAUACGCCCUUAGGGGGAAAGAUUUAUCGGAGGAGGAUCGGCCCGCGUUGGAUUAGGUAGUUGGUGGGGUAAUGGCCUACCAAGCCGACGAUCCAUAGCUGGUUUGAGAGGAUGAUCAGCCACACUGGGACUGAGACACGGCCCAGACUCCUACGAGAGGCAGCAGUGGGGAAUCUUAGACAAUGGGCGCAAGCCUGAUCUAGCCAUGCCGCGUGAGCGAUGAAGGCCUUAGGGUUGUAAAGCUCUUUCAGGGGGGAAGAUAAUGACUGUACCCCCAGAAGAAGCCCCGGCUAACUCCGUG
This 425-nucleotide ribosomal RNA is filed under the name uncultured bacterium. Its description in RNAcentral is "bacterial SSU rRNA". It matches the Rfam family "Bacterial small subunit ribosomal RNA", at positions 34 to 507 of the family's 1533-position model. The record is from RNAcentral.